This 231-nucleotide ribosomal RNA is filed under the name uncultured bacterium. RNAcentral's name for it is "partial 16S ribosomal RNA". It matches the Rfam family "Bacterial small subunit ribosomal RNA", at positions 105 to 334 of the family's 1533-position model. The record is from RNAcentral.
CGGGAGGUGAGUAAUGUCUGGGAAACUGCCUGAUGGAGGGGGAUAACUACUGGAAACGGUAGCUAAUACCGCAUAACGUCGCAAGACCAAAGAGGGGGACCUUCGGGCCUCUUGCCAUCGGAUGUGCCCAGAUGGGAUUAGCUAGUAGGUGGGGUAACGGCUCACCUAGGCGACGAUCCCUAGCUGGUCUGAGAGGAUGACCAGCCACACUGGAACUGAGACACGGUCCAG